This 495-nucleotide ribosomal RNA is filed under the name uncultured bacterium. RNAcentral's name for it is "partial 16S ribosomal RNA". It matches the Rfam family "Bacterial small subunit ribosomal RNA", at positions 28 to 507 of the family's 1533-position model. The record is from RNAcentral.
GAUGAACGCUGGCGGCGUGCCUAAUACAUGCAAGUCGAGCGAACAGAUGAGGAGCUUGCUCCUCUGACGUUAGCGGCGGACGGGUGAGUAACACGUGGAUAACCUACCUAUAAGACUGGGAUAACUUCGGGAAACCGGAGCUAAUACCGGAUAAUAUAUUGAACCGCAUGGUUCAAUAGUGAAAGACGGUUUUGCUGUCACUUAUAGAUGGAUCCGCGCCGCAUUAGCUAGUUGGUAAGGUAACGGCUUACCAAGGCGACGAUGCGUAGCCGACCUGAGAGGGUGAUCGGCCACACUGGAACUGAGACGGUCCAGACUCCUACGGGAGGCAGCAGUAGGGAAUCUUCCGCAAUGGGCGAAAGCCUGACGGAGCAACGCCGCGUGAGUGAUGAAGGUCUUCGGAUCGUAAAACUCUGUUAUUAGGGAAGAACAAAUGUGUAAGUAACUAUGCACGUCUUGACGGUACCUAAUCAGAAAGCCACGGCUAACUACGUG